GACCACGGGACCACAGGACCACCGGACCACGUGCUACUGUCUCGUGAGUCGUGCAGUUGGGUCCAGGUCCAAGUCCUUGUCCCGGUGUGACACUAGCAGUGGCUAUGAGUUCAUACGAGUGAUGUCCCCAGAUCCAGAAGUUCAGAUCAAUAUUUCACACUUUGAAACGUCGAGGAACGUAGAGGAAAUAAAGCGAAACUGUGACGUCCGAGAGCGAAGAAUGGCUGUGGGAUACUUCCCGUCAGGUUUCCACACCCACUGGUUUGAUGACAAGCCCCGCCCUCAUGGCGUUCACCUGUGUUCAGCUCAGCACACCUGCAGUAACAGUUCCAGCAUGUUUCCCUGGUCAGAUGCUUGUUUUCUUUGACUCUCUGAUUUUGAACUUUAACACGGGAGACAAAAAGUCCAAUCUAACAUGUGGUUAUUACGGUAAUUUGAAGCGCGCUGUUACAGGAAGUCGGAGAAUCAGCGUAUUUGUCGCCAGAAAGGAAAGAGUUGGGAAAACACGGCUGUAAUUAAUGUCCAAAAAGAGGCCAAAAAACAUAGAAACUGAGACACAAACUCAAACAAAUGUUACUUUAAAUAGGUUUCAUACUGUUCUUAUUUCAAAUUUAACACA
Long non-coding RNA from Solea senegalensis (Senegalese sole), 619 nucleotides. RefSeq lists it as uncharacterized. The transcript is spliced from 4 exons. The record is from RefSeq and is a predicted model, not a curated record. Lineage: Eukaryota; Metazoa; Chordata; Actinopteri; Pleuronectiformes; Soleidae.